Molecule: ribosomal RNA, 253 nt
Filed under: uncultured bacterium
Lineage: Bacteria
Description: partial 16S ribosomal RNA
Rfam family: Bacterial small subunit ribosomal RNA
Source: RNAcentral
UACGGAGGGUGCAAACGUUGCUCGGAAUCAUUGGGCGUAAAGCGCACGUAGGCGGCCUGUUAAGUCGGGUGUGAAAGCCCUGGGCUCAACCCAGGAAGUGCACUCGAAACUGGCGGGCUUGAAUAUGGAAGAGGGUCGCGGAAUUCCCGGUGUAGAGGUGAAAUUCGUAGAUAUCGGGAGGAACACCGGUGGCGAAGGCGGCGACCUGGGUCGAUACUGACGCUGAGGUGCGAAAGCGUGGGGAGCAAACAGG